RNAcentral lists this ribosomal RNA (548 nucleotides) under fungal endophyte. RNAcentral's name for it is "eukaryotic LSU rRNA". The stretch from base 183 to 336 matches the Rfam family "5.8S ribosomal RNA". The record is from RNAcentral. Lineage: Eukaryota; Fungi.
UCAUUAAAGAGUUCUAUAACUCCCAAACCCAUGUGAACAUACCAUACGUUGCCUCGGCAGGUCGCGCCUACCCCGUAGCGUCCUACCCUGUAGGACCUACCCGGUAGACGCGGGUAAGCCUGCCGGCGGCCCAAGAAACUCUGUUUAGUAUUGAAUUCUGAACCUAUAACUAAAUAAGUUAAAACUUUCAACAACGGAUCUCUUGGUUCUGGCAUCGAUGAAGAACGCAGCGAAAUGCGAUAAGUAAUGUGAAUUGCAGAAUUCAGUGAAUCAUCGAAUCUUUGAACGCACAUUGCGCCCAUUAGUAUUCUAGUGGGCAUGCCUGUUCGAGCGUCAUUUCAACCCUUAAGCCCUCGUUGCUUAGUGUUGGGAGCCUACGGUACCCGUAGCUCCUCAAAGUUAGUGGCGGAGUCGGUUCACACUCUAGACGUAGUAAUUUUAUCUCGCCUAUCAGUUGGACCGGUCCCCUGCCGUAAAACACACCAAUUUCUAAAGGUUGACCUCGGAUCAGGUAGGAAUACCCGCUGAACUUAAGCAUAUCAAUAAGC